RNAcentral lists this microRNA precursor (203 nucleotides) under Oryza nivara. RNAcentral describes it as "MIR812 microRNA precursor family". The stretch from base 23 to 203 matches the Rfam family "MIR812 microRNA precursor family", at positions 25 to 205 of the family's 205-position model. Lineage: Eukaryota; Viridiplantae; Streptophyta; Magnoliopsida; Poales; Poaceae. The record is from Rfam by way of RNAcentral.
CAUCAUGGUUUUACAUUGUUUAUGUCAAAUAUUUAAUCGUUCGUCUUAUUUAAAAAAGUUCUAUGAUUACUAUUUUUUUUAUUAUUAGAUGAUAAAAACAUGAAUACUAUUUUAUGUGUGAUUAUUAUUUUAAAAAAAUUAUUAAUUUUUAAAUAAGAUAAAUGGUUAAAUAUUGAACACAGAAAUCAACAGUUACACAAAAA